This 1365-nucleotide ribosomal RNA is filed under the name uncultured bacterium. RNAcentral's name for it is "bacterial SSU rRNA". It matches the Rfam family "Bacterial small subunit ribosomal RNA", at positions 28 to 1381 of the family's 1533-position model. The record is from RNAcentral.
GAUGAACGCUGGCGGCGUGCCUAACACAUGCAAGUCGAGCGAGGGUUUGCUCAGUAUUGAGUAUUCUAAGACUAGAAUGUUCAAUUCUGAGCAAAACCAAGCGGCGGACGGGUGAGUAACGCGUGGGUAACCUGCCCUAUACACAUGGAUAACAUACUGAAAAGUUUACUAAUACAUGAUAAUAUAUAUUUGCGGCAUCGCAGAUAUAUCAAAGUGUUAGCGGUAUAGGAUGGACCCGCGUCUGAUUAGCUAGUUGGUGAGAUAACUGCCCACCAAGGCGACGAUCAGUAGCCGACCUGAGAGGGUGAUCGGCCACAUUGGAACUGAGACACGGUCCAAACUCCUACGGGAGGCAGCAGUGGGGAAUAUUGCACAAUGGGCGAAAGCCUGAUGCAGCAACGCCGCGUGAACGAUGAAGGUCUUCGGAUCGUAAAGUUCUGUUGCAGGGGAAGAUAAUGACGGUACCCUGUGAGGAAGCCCCGGCUAACUACGUGCCAGCAGCCGCGGUAAUACGUAGGGGGCUAGCGUUAUCCGGAUUUACUGGGCGUAAAGGGUGCGUAGGUGGUCCUUCAAGUCGGUGGUUAAAGGCUACGGCUCAACCGUAGUAAGCCGCCGAAACUGGAGGACUUGAGUGCAGGAGAGGAAAGUGGAAUUCCCAGUGUAGCGGUGAAAUGCGUAGAUAUUGGGAGGAACACCAGUAGCGAAGGCGGCUUUCUGGACUGCAACUGACACUGAGGCACGAAAGCGUGGGUAGCAAACAGGAUUAGAUACCCUGGUAGUCCACGCUGUAAACGAUGAGUACUAGGUGUGCAGGGGUUACCCCCCUCGGUGCCGCAGCUAACGCAUUAAGUACUCCGCCUGGGGAGUACGCACGCAAGUGUGAAACUCAAAGGAAUUGACGGGGACCCGCACAAGUAGCGGAGCAUGUGGUUUAAUUCGAAGCAACGCGAAGAACCUUACCUAAGCUUGACAUCCCUCGGACAGGUGUUUAAUCACACCCUUCUUUCGGGACUGAGGUGACAGGUGGUGCAUGGUUGUCGUCAGCUCGUGUCGUGAGAUGUUGGGUUAAGUCCCGCAACGAGCGCAACCCUUGUCUUUAGUUGCCAGCAUUUAGUUGGGCACUCUAGAGAGACUGCCAGGGAUAACCUGGAGGAAGGUGGGGAUGACGUCAAAUCAUCAUGCCCCUUAUGCUUAGGGCUACACACGUGCUACAAUGGGUGGUACAGAGGGUUGCCAAACCGUGAGGUGGAGCCAAUCCCUUAAAGCCAUUCUCAGUUCGGAUUGUAGGCUGAAACUCGCCUACAUGAAGCUGGAGUUACUAGUAAUCGCAGAUCAGAAUGCUGCGGUGAAUGCGUUCCCGGGUCU